AUUGAACGCUGGCGGCAGGCCUAACACAUGCAAGUCGAGCGGAUGAAGGGAGCUUGCUCCUGGAUUCAGCGGCGGACGGGUGAGUAAUGCCUAGGAAUCUGCCUGGUAGUGGGGGAUAACGUCCGGACACGGGCGCUAAUACCGCAUACGUCCUUAGGGAGAAAGUGGGGGAUCUUCGGACCUCACGCUAUCAGAUGAGCCUAGGUCGGAUUAGCUAGUUGGUGGGGUAAAGGCCUACCAAGGCGACGAUCCGUAACUGGUCUGAGAGGAUGAUCAGUCACACUGGAACUGAGACACGGUCCAGACUCCUACGGGAGGCAGCAGUGGGGAAUAUUGGACAAUGGGCGAAAGCCUGAUCCAGCCAUGCCGCGUGUGUGAAGAAGGUCUUCGGACUGUAAAGCACUUUAAGUUGGGAGGAAGGGCAGUAAGUUAAUACCUUGCUGUUUUGACGUUACCAACAGAAUAAGCACCGGCUAACUUCGUG
RNAcentral lists this ribosomal RNA (484 nucleotides) under uncultured bacterium. RNAcentral describes it as "partial 16S ribosomal RNA". It matches the Rfam family "Bacterial small subunit ribosomal RNA", at positions 30 to 507 of the family's 1533-position model. The record is from RNAcentral.